UAAAAAAAGGUAAGCUACUAAGAGCGAAUGGUGGAUGCCUUGACUGGUAAAGGCGAUGAAGGACGUACUAGACUGCGAUAAGCUACGGGGAGCUGUCAAGAAGCUUUGAUCCGUAGAUUUCCGAAUGGGGCAACCCAAUGUAUAGAGAUAUACAUUACCUAUAUAGGAGCGAACGAGGGGAAUUGAAACAUCUUAGUACCCUCAGGAAAAGAAAUCAAUAGAGAUUGCGUCAGUAGCGGCGAGCGAAAGCGCAAGAGGGCAAACCCAGUGCUUGCACUGGGGGUUGUAGGACUGCAAUGUGCAAGAGGUAAGUUUAGCAGAACAUUCUGGAAAGUAUAGCCAUAGAGGGUGAUAGUCCCGUAUGCGAAAAACAAACCUUAGCUAGCAGUAUCCUGAGUAGGGCGGGACACGAGAAAUCCUGUCUGAAGCUGGGUCGACCACGAUCCAACCCUAAAUACUAAUACCAGAUCGAUAGUGCACAAGUACCGUGAGGGAAAGGUGAAAAGAACUGAGGUGAUCAGAGUGAAAUAGAACCUGAAACCAUUUGCUUACAAUCAUUCAGAGCCCUAUGUAGCAAUACAGGGUGAUGGACUGCCUUUUGCAUAAUGAGCCUGCGAGUUGUGGUGUCUGGCAAGGUUAAGCAAACGCGAAGCCGUAGCGAAAGCGAGUCUGAAUAGGGCGCUUAGUCAGAUGCUGCAGACCCGAAACGAAGUGAUCUAUCCAUGAGCAAGUUGAAGCUAGUGUAAGAACUAGUGGAGGACUGAACCCAUAGGCGUUGAAAAGCCCCGGGAUGACUUGUGGAUAGGGGUGAAAGGCCAAUCAAACUUCGUGAUAGCUGGUUCUCUCCGAAAUAUAUUUAGGUAUAGCGUUGUGUCGUAAUAUAAGGGGGUAGAGCACUGAAUGGGCUAGGGCAUACACCAAUGUACCAAACCCUAUCAAACUCCGAAUACCUUAUAUGUAAUCACAGCAGUCAGGCGGCGAGUGAUAAAAUCCGUCGUCAAGAGGGAAACAACCCAGACUACCAGCUAAGGUCCCUAAAUCUUACUUAAGUGGAAAACGAUGUGAAGUUACUUAAACAACCAGGAGGUUGGCUUAGAAGCAGCCAUCCUUUAAAGAAAGCGUAAUAGCUCACUGGUCUAGUGAUUUUGCGCGGAAAAUAUAACGGGGCUAAAGUAAGUACCGAAGCUGUAGACUUGCACACAACUUAGAUUAUUUAAGUUUAGAAUAUGAGAAACUAAGUUAUAUGUUUAGUUAUAUUUUUACUGAUUUUUAUAGAGUAAAGAUAGAAAUAAAACUUAGUAAAAUCAGUAAAAAUAUUCUUAGACUAAAGUUAAGUAGUUUAAGUUGUGUGCAAGUGGUAGGAGAGCGUUCUAUUUGCGUCGAAGGUAUACCGGUAAGGAGUGCUGGAGCGAAUAGAAGUGAGCAUGCAGGCAUGAGUAGCGAUAAUUAAUGUGAGAAUCAUUAACGCCGUAAACCCAAGGUUUCCUACGCGAUGCUCGUCAUCGUAGGGUUAGUCGGGUCCUAAGUCGAGUCCGAAAGGGGUAGACGAUGGCAAAUUGGUUAAUAUUCCAAUACCAACAUUAGUGUGCGAUGGAAGGACGCUUAGGGCUAAGGGGGCUAGCGGAUGGAAGUGCUAGUCUAAGGUCGUAGGAGGUUAUACAGGCAAAUCCGUAUAACAAUACUCCGAGAACUGAAAGGCUUUUUGAAGUCUUCGGAUGGAUAGAAGAACCCCUGAUGCCGUCGAGCCAAGAAAAGUUUCUAAGUUUAGCUAAUGUUGCCCGUACCGUAAACCGACACAGGUGGGUGGGAUGAGUAUUCUAAGGCGCGUGGAAGAACUCUCUUUAAGGAACUCUGCAAAAUAGCACCGUAUCUUCGGUAUAAGGUGUGGUUCGCUUCGUAUUAGGAUUUACUCCGAAAGCGAAGAAACUUACAACAAAGAGUCCCUCCCGACUGUUUACCAAAAACACAGCACUCUGCUAACUCGUAAGAGGAUGUAUAGGGUGUGACGCCUGCCCGGUGCUCGAAGGUUAAUUGAUGGGGUUAGCAUUAGCGAAGCUCUUGAUCGAAGCCCGAGUAAACGGCGGCCGUAACUAUAACGGUCCUAAGGUAGCGAAAUUCCUUGUCGGUUAAAUACCGACCUGCAUGAAUGGCGUAACGAGAUGGGAGCUGUCUCAAAGAGGGAUCCAGUGAAAUUGUAGUGGAGGUGAAAAUUCCUCCUACCCGCGGCAAGACGGAAAGACCCCGUGGACCUUUACUACAGCUUGACACUGCUAUUUGGAUAAGAAUGUGCAGGAUAGGUGGGAGGCUUUGAGUAUAUGACGCCAGUUGUAUAUGAGCCAUUGUUGAGAUACCACUCUUUCUUAUUUGGGUAGCUAACCAGCUUGAGUUAUCCUCAAGUGGGACAAUGUCUGGUGGGUAGUUUGACUGGGGCGGUCGCCUCCCAAAUAAUAACGGAGGCUUACAAAGGUUGGCUCAGAACGGUUGGAAAUCGUUCGUAGAGUAUAAAGGUAUAAGCCAGCUUAACUGCAAGACAUACAAGUCAAGCAGAGACGAAAGUCGGUCUUAGUGAUCCGGUGGUUCUGUGUGGAAGGGCCAUCGCUCAAAGGAUAAAAGGUACCCCGGGGAUAACAGGCUGAUCUCCCCCAAGAGCUCACAUCGACGGGGAGGUUUGGCACCUCGAUGUCGGCUCAUCGCAUCCUGGGGCUGGAGCAGGUCCCAAGGGUAUGGCUGUUCGCCAUUUAAAGCGGUACGCGAGCUGGGUUCAGAACGUCGUGAGACAGUUCGGUCCCUAUCUGCCGUGGGCGUAAGAAGAUUGAAGAGAUUUGACCCUAGUACGAGAGGACCGGGUUGAACAAACCACUGGUGUAGCUGUUGUUCUGCCAAGAGCAUCGCAGCGUAGCUAAGUUUGGAAAGGAUAAACGCUGAAAGCAUCUAAGCGUGAAGCCAACUCUAAGAUGAAUCUUCUCUAAGCUCUCUAGAAGACUACUAGUUUGAUAGGCUGGGUGUGUAAUGGAUGAAAGUCCUUUAGCUGACCAGUACUAAUAGAGCGUUUGGCUUAUCUUUAAUAAAGCAU
Molecule: ribosomal RNA, 3073 nt
Filed under: Campylobacter coli
Lineage: Bacteria; Pseudomonadati; Campylobacterota; Epsilonproteobacteria; Campylobacterales; Campylobacteraceae
Description: 23S ribosomal RNA
Rfam family: Bacterial large subunit ribosomal RNA
Source: RNAcentral